RNAcentral lists this ribosomal RNA (429 nucleotides) under Chloroflexota bacterium. Its description in RNAcentral is "Chloroflexi bacterium partial 16S ribosomal RNA". It matches the Rfam family "Bacterial small subunit ribosomal RNA", at positions 355 to 776 of the family's 1533-position model. Lineage: Bacteria; Bacillati; Chloroflexota. The record is from RNAcentral.
UGGGGAAUAUUGCACAAUGGGCGCAAGCCUGAUGCAGCCAUGCCGCGUGUGUGAAGAAGGCCUUCGGGUUGUAAAGCACUUUCAGCGGGGAGGAAGGCGAUAAGGUUAAUAACCUUGUCGAUUGACGUUACCCGCAGAAGAAGCACCGGCUAACUCCGUGCCAGCAGCCGCGGUAAUACGGAGGGUGCAAGCGUUAAUCGGAAUUACUGGGCGUAAAGCGCACGCAGGCGGUCUGUCAAGUCGGAUGUGAAAUCCCCGGGCUUAACCUGGGAACUGCAUUAGAAACUGGCAGGCUAGAGUCUUGUAGAGGGGGGUAGAAUUCCAGGUGUAGCGGUGAAAUGCGUAGAGAUCUGGAGGAAUACCGGUGGCGAAGGCGGCCCCCUGGACAAAGACUGACGCUCAGGUGCGAAAGCGUGGGGAGCAAACAGG